GUGGGGAAUAUUGGACAAUGGGGGGAACCCUGAUCCAGCCAUGCCGCGUGUGUGAAGAAGGCCUUUUGGUUGUAAAGUACUUUAAGCGAGGAGGAGGCUACCGAGAUUAAUACUCUUGGAUAGUGGACGUUACUCGCAGAAUAAGCACCGGCUAACUCUGUGCCAGCAGCCGCGGUAAUACAGAGGGUGCGAGCGUUAAUCGGAUUUACUGGGCGUAAAGCGUGCGUAGGCGGCUUUUUAAGUCGGAUGUGAAAUCCCCGAGCUUAACUUGGGAAUUGCAUUCGAUACUGGGAAGCUAGAGUAUGGGAGAGGAUGGUAGAAUUCCAGGUGUAGCGGUGAAAUGCGUAGAGAUCUGGAGGAAUACCGAUGGCGAAGGCAGCCAUCUGGCCUAAUACUGACGCUGAGGUACGAAAGCAUGGGGAGCAAACAGGAUUAGAAACCCUUGUAGUCC
RNAcentral lists this ribosomal RNA (451 nucleotides) under uncultured bacterium. Its description in RNAcentral is "bacterial SSU rRNA". It matches the Rfam family "Bacterial small subunit ribosomal RNA", at positions 354 to 796 of the family's 1533-position model. The record is from RNAcentral.